AGGUAACAUACCCUUUCGGACGGGCACAACCCCGGGAAACUGGGGCUAAUUCCCGAUAGGUACCCCCUUCUGGAAUGUGGGGAUAUCCAAAGCUCCGGCGCCGAAGGAUGGGCCUGCGGCCGAUUAGGUUGUUGGCGGGGUAACAGCCCACCAAGCCGACGAUCGGUACGGGCAGUGAGAGCUGUAGCCCGGAGAUGGGGACUGAGACAAGGCCCCAGGCCCUACGGGGCGCAGCAGGCGCGAAACCUUCACAAUGCACGAAAGUGUGAUGAGGGUACUCCGAGUGCGCAUACAUUGUAUGUGCUUUUCUGCAGCGUAAAUAGUUGCAGGAAUAAGGGCUGGGCAAGACCGGUGCCAGCCGCCGCGGUAACACCGGCAGCCCUAGUGGUGGCCGCUUUUAUUGGGCCUAAAGCGUCCGUAGCCGGACAGGCGAGUCUUUGGGUAAAUCCUACGCCUUAAGCGUGGGAAUUCUAAAGAUACUACCUGUCUUGAGGCCGGGAGAGGCUGGAGGUACUCCUGGGGUAGGGGUAAAAUCCUAUAAUCCUGGGGGGACCACCGAUGGCGAAGGCAUCCAGCUGGAACGGGCCUGACGGUGAGGGACGAAACCCAGGGGAGCGAGCCGGAUUAGAUACCCGGGUAGUCCUGGGCGUAAAUGAUGUGGGCUUGGUGUGAGCGCAUCGACGAGGUGCGCUUGUGCCGUAGGGAAGCCGUUAAGCCCACCGCCUGGGGAGUACGGUCGCAAGGCUGAAACUUAA
This 755-nucleotide ribosomal RNA is filed under the name uncultured archaeon. RNAcentral describes it as "bacterial SSU rRNA". It matches the Rfam family "Archaeal small subunit ribosomal RNA", at positions 102 to 859 of the family's 1478-position model. The record is from RNAcentral.